RNAcentral lists this ribosomal RNA (433 nucleotides) under uncultured bacterium. RNAcentral describes it as "partial 16S ribosomal RNA". It matches the Rfam family "Bacterial small subunit ribosomal RNA", at positions 29 to 507 of the family's 1533-position model. The record is from RNAcentral.
AACGAACGCUGGCGGCAUGCCUAACACAUGCAAGUCGAACGAGACCUUCGGGUCUAGUGGCGCACGGGUGCGUCACGCGUGGGAACCUGCACUUAGGUUCGGAAUAACUCCCCGAAAGGGGUGCUAAUACCGGAUAAUGUCUUCGGACCAAAGAUUUAUCGCCUUUGGAUGGGCCCGCGUUGGAUUAGCUAGUUGGUAGGGUAAAAGCCUACCGAGGCGACGAUCCAUAGCUUGUCUGAGAGGAUGAUCAGCCACACUGGGACUGAGACACGGCCCAGACUCCUACGGGAGGCAGCAGUGGGGAAUAUUGGACAAUGGGCGAAAGCCUGAUCCAGCAAUGCCGCGUGAGUGAUGAAGGCCGUAGGGUUGUAAAGCUCUUUUACCCGGGAUGAUAAUGACAGUACCGGGAGAAUAAGCUCCGGCUAACUCCGUG